UGUUGAUGGGUAACAUUUCUUCAAAUAUGGGUUUCAUUAACUUUCAUAAAUAACAAUUUCUUAGAUUUGUGUAUUGUUUUUCUGAAAUUAGUGGUUAAUUCUUUGGUGGCUAUAGAAUUACUACUUGCUUUUCAAGCAUUUAUAACAUUUCUCAUGUUGUUCUUAGUGCAAUAAAAGGUGCAUGUGUUAUAUAACAUAAUUACAUAAUUCAGAAU
Molecule: long non-coding RNA, 215 nt
Filed under: Ricinus communis (castor bean)
Lineage: Eukaryota; Viridiplantae; Streptophyta; Magnoliopsida; Malpighiales; Euphorbiaceae
Description: long non-coding RNA (RCOM_LNC002630)
Source: RNAcentral